UAUAAACGUAUUUUAAAGUUCGAUAUUUAAUCGGAUUUCUUACUGAGUUUUAUAGCUCAUAUAGAUGCCUUUUAAUUGCAGGUAGUAGUGUUAGUAACCCUCCACCGGAAUGGAUCGAAUAGCGGAUCGAGGUCUUGCCCGGGAUUUUGGAAGUUGUACGAGGGCCUAUGAACAAUGCUAAACAUUUUGGUUUCUUUUGGUGAUGUAAUAUUAAACCUACGUAUUUCCUUUUUCGUAUCUUUUGAACUUAAAUCCGGUAUGGAUCGUACUUAACUUUUAUUAUCAAAUAGUACGUUUAGUAAUUUUGCUAUUUUCACGUCUCAACUAGUAGAUUUCGAAAUACUCACCAAAAUACCUUUCAAAACUCUGAUUUCCUUUCGAACCAAAAAGAUAAGAUAGGUAGUUUCAUAGUGUAGCACUCGAACAAAAAUCCUCCUCUCGAAACUUGUUUUCAAACGAAACAUUUAGUCUACUUAAACACUCCUGGGCUAGUUUUCGAAAAUCACAAAAGGUUUUAAUUGUUCUAAAGAAGAGAUUUU
Molecule: non-coding RNA, 539 nt
Organism: Erythranthe guttata (spotted monkey flower)
Lineage: Eukaryota; Viridiplantae; Streptophyta; Magnoliopsida; Lamiales; Phrymaceae
Source: RefSeq, a predicted model, not a curated record